Non-coding RNA from Coturnix japonica (Japanese quail), 790 nucleotides. The record is from RefSeq and is a predicted model, not a curated record. NCBI's taxonomy places the organism in Eukaryota, Metazoa, Chordata, Aves, Galliformes, Phasianidae.
UGGGAAGCACAGGCAAAUUGUUUACAUCUGUGCUUCCUGGGUCAGCCAGGUGCUCAAUCAUCAGGCUGUUACCAUACUGUUACCCCACACCCAGCAUCAGUAUAAACGGAUCCCAACCAAAUCUUGCUUAUGGAAAAACAUCCAAAGAAUCUAUGGCUGUAAGAUUCUGCUUUACUCAUUGCUCCAUGUGCAAAAAGUGAGGGAUUCCUUUCAUUCAAGCAGUGUGAUUUAAGUGUAAUGGAGAAAGUUGACUGGGCUCUGAGAACCUGGUCAAGCUGACCUUGAAUGUUUGCAGGGACAAGGCAUCCACCACCUCUCUGGAAAAACUGAAUCCCAAGAGCGUCAAGAUUGGAAAAAACAGGACUGAUAUACAGGAAAAUGGAGUAUUAAUAGGAAAAAUCAGCUUUAGGAAUAGUAGGAGGAAAACCAGGAAGAACUCUUACUUCUUUAUGCAGUCUAGACUAAGUUAACAGCAUUUCCUCGAUAGUAACAGGUCAGCAAGGACUGCACAACAUCUAAUGGCUCACAGGAUGAACUCAAAAGGCUGGAGGGGAACAGUACCUGGCAUUAUGCGUAAUUCAGUGAUGGCACUGUACAGCAAGAAACUAUGAUGUCCUAAAGGGGGCUGAGAGCUGAGAAGGAUGCAGAAAAGAGGAAAAGGAUUUAAAUGCUCAGUUUGAGGAGACUUGCCAUGAACUUGACUGAAGCACAGAUAACAGUUGUAAGAGGAGUGGAAGCAAAGGGAAAACAUCAAGAGUGACUUUCCCACUCUAAGUGUGAUGAAAGCACA